GAUGAAGAACGUAGCGAAAUGCGAUAAGUAAUGUGAAUUGCAGAAUUCAGUGAAUCAUCGAAUCUUUGAACGCACAUUGCGCCCGCCAGUAUUCUGGCGGGCAUGCCUGUUCGAGCGUCAUUUCAACCCUCAAGCACAGCUUGGUGUUGGGACUCGCGUUAAUUCGCGUUCCCCAAAUUGAUUGGCGGUCACGUCGAGCUUCCAUAGCGUAGUAGUAAAACCCUAGUUACUGGUAAUCGUCGCGGCCACGCCGUUAAACCCCAACUUCUGAAUGUUGACCUCGGAUCAGGUAGGAAUACCCGCUGAACUUAAGCAUAUCAAUAAGCGGAGGA
Molecule: unclassified non-coding RNA, 332 nt
Filed under: soil metagenome
Description: partial contains 5.8S ribosomal RNA, internal transcribed spacer 2, and large subunit ribosomal RNA
Rfam family: 5.8S ribosomal RNA (bases 1-120)
Source: RNAcentral